CCGCGGUAAUACGUAGGGUGCGAGCGUUAAUCGGAAUUACUGGGCGUAAAGCGUGCGCAGGCGGUUCCAUAAGACAGAUGUGAAAUCCCCGGGCUUAACCUGGGAACUGCGUUUGUGACUGUGGGACUGGAGUGUGGCAGAGGGGGGUGGAAUUCCACGUGUAGCAGUGAAAUGCGUAGAGAUGUGGAGGAACACCGAUGGCGAAGGCAGCCCCCUGGGUCAACACUGACGCUCAUGCACGAAAGCGUGG
Molecule: ribosomal RNA, 250 nt
Filed under: uncultured bacterium
Lineage: Bacteria
Description: partial 16S ribosomal RNA
Rfam family: Bacterial small subunit ribosomal RNA
Source: RNAcentral